CAUGCAAGUCGAACGAUGAAGCCCUUCGGGGUGGAUUAGUGGCGAACGGGUGAGUAACACGUGGGCAAUCUGCCCUUCACUCUGGGACAAGCCCUGGAAACGGGGUCUAAUACCGGAUAACACUCUGUCCCGCAUGGGACGGGGUUAAAAGCUCCGGCGGUGAAGGAUGAGCCCGCGGCCUAUCAGCUUGUUGGUGGGGUAAUGGCCUACCAAGGCGACGACGGGUAGCCGGCCUGAGAGGGCGACCGGCCACACUGGGACUGAGACACGGCCCAGACUCCUACGGGAGGCAGCAGUGGGGAAUAUUGCACAAUGGGCGAAAGCCUGAUGCAGCGACGCCGCGUGAGGGAUGACGGCCUUCGGGUUGUAAACCUCUUUCAGCAGGGAAGAAGCGAAAGUGACGGUACCUGCAGAAGAAGCGCCGGCUAACUACGUGCCAGCAGCCGCGGUAAUACGUAGGGCGCAAGCGUUGUCCGGAAUUAUUGGGCGUAAAGAGCUCGUAGGCGGCUUGUCACGUCGGAUGUGAAAGCCCGGGGCUUAACCCCGGGUCUGCAUUCGAUACGGGCUAGCUAGAGUGUGGUAGGGGAGAUCGGAAUUCCUGGUGUAGCGGUGAAAUGCGCAGAUAUCAGGAGGAACACCGGUGGCGAAGGCGGAUCUCUGGGCCAUUACUGACGCUGAGGAGCGAAAGCGUGGGGGAGCGAACAGGAUUAGAU
RNAcentral lists this ribosomal RNA (713 nucleotides) under Streptomyces sp. YIM 56217. RNAcentral's name for it is "bacterial SSU rRNA". It matches the Rfam family "Bacterial small subunit ribosomal RNA", at positions 54 to 783 of the family's 1533-position model. Lineage: Bacteria; Bacillati; Actinomycetota; Actinomycetes; Kitasatosporales; Streptomycetaceae. The record is from RNAcentral.